Pongo abelii (Sumatran orangutan) is the source of this 102-nucleotide small nuclear RNA. NCBI's taxonomy places the organism in Eukaryota, Metazoa, Chordata, Mammalia, Primates, Hominidae. The record is from Ensembl.
GCUCCCUUCGGCAGCACAUAUAUUAAAAUUGGAACAAUACAGAGAUUAGCAUGGCCUCUGUGCAAGGAUGACACGUAAACUUGUGAAGCGUUCCAUAUUUUU